This 219-nucleotide ribosomal RNA is filed under the name Klebsiella pneumoniae. RNAcentral describes it as "partial 23S ribosomal RNA". It matches the Rfam family "Bacterial large subunit ribosomal RNA", at positions 2724 to 2925 of the family's 2925-position model. The record is from RNAcentral. Lineage: Bacteria; Pseudomonadati; Pseudomonadota; Gammaproteobacteria; Enterobacterales; Enterobacteriaceae.
UCAUGCCAAUGGCACUGCCCGGUAGCUAAAUGCGGAAGAGAUAAGUGCUGAAAGCAUCUAAGCACGAAACUUGCCCCGAGAUGAGUUCUCCCUGAGACUAUAAGUCUCCUGAAGGAACGUUAAAGACGAUGACGUUGAUAGGCCGGGUGUGUAAGCGCAGCGAUGCGUUGAGCUAACCGGUACUAAUGAACCGUGAGGCUUAACCUUACAACGCCGAAG